Non-coding RNA from Pristionchus pacificus, 61 nucleotides. The record is from Rfam. Lineage: Eukaryota; Metazoa; Nematoda; Chromadorea; Rhabditida; Neodiplogasteridae.
UCCUCAUUCCGCGUACUCUCUCACCGGUCAGAGUGACGAGAGAGUACGCGAAAUGAGGAGA